RNAcentral lists this ribosomal RNA (408 nucleotides) under Triticum aestivum (bread wheat). Its description in RNAcentral is "partial small subunit ribosomal RNA". Lineage: Eukaryota; Viridiplantae; Streptophyta; Magnoliopsida; Poales; Poaceae. The record is from RNAcentral.
AUGUCCCUAUCUUAUGAGCAGUCAAAAAGCCUAAUUCUGCAGUGUAGCAAUGUUUGUAUGAUCGGAGGCACUAAAAUUCUCUCGGUGGAUCCGGCCCUCGUGCUGCGGUUCCUCUUUGAGCCAUUGAAAGAGACGUCGUGCUGUGUGCAGCUGACCAACAAGACAGGUGGCUUCAUCGCAUUCAACAUAUUGAUCAACAAGAACAAGUACAGUGUGCGUCCAAGCCAAGGGAGCAUACUGCCGUGCUCCAGGCGUUAUGUUGUCGUCACACUGUCAGCGCAAGAGGCGGCGCCGCCGUACAUGCGGUGUGACGACAUGCUCCUGGUGCAGAGCACCAGCAUCACCCAAGAUGUGGUGAGAUCAAUUAUCAAGAAUUGUUCGGGAUGGCAUGAGGGAGAAGGUAGUUGA